This 87-nucleotide transfer RNA is filed under the name Elusimicrobia bacterium GWA2_56_46. Its description in RNAcentral is "tRNA-Ser". It matches the Rfam family "tRNA". From Rfam's summary of the family: Transfer RNA (tRNA) molecules are approximately 80 nucleotides in length. Their secondary structure includes four short double-helical elements and three loops (D, anti-codon, and T loops). Lineage: Bacteria; Pseudomonadati; Elusimicrobiota. RNAcentral also lists the same sequence under 2 other names. The record is from RNAcentral.
GGAGGGAUGGCCGAGCGGUUGAUGGCGCCAGUCUUGAAAACUGGUAAAGGCGUAAGUCUUUCGUGGGUUCGAAUCCCACUCCCUCCG